This 460-nucleotide ribosomal RNA is filed under the name uncultured Porphyromonas sp. RNAcentral describes it as "bacterial SSU rRNA". It matches the Rfam family "Bacterial small subunit ribosomal RNA", at positions 338 to 795 of the family's 1533-position model. Lineage: Bacteria; Pseudomonadati; Bacteroidota; Bacteroidia; Bacteroidales; Porphyromonadaceae. The record is from RNAcentral.
CCUACGGGGGGCAGCAGUGAGGAAUAUUGGUCAAUGGGCGAGAGCCUGAACCAGCCAAGUCGCGUGAAGGAUGACUGUCUUAUGGAUUGUAAACUUCUUUUGUAGGGGAAUAAAGAACAGUACGUGUACUGUAGUGAAUGUACCCUACGAAUAAGCAUCGGCUAACUCCGUGCCAGCAGCCGCGGUAAUACGGAGGAUGCGAGCGUUAUCCGGAUUUAUUGGGUUUAAAGGGUGCGUAGGCGGCCUGUUAAGUCAGCGGUGAAAUCUAGGGGCUUAACUCCUAAAUUGCCAUUGAUACUGGUGGGCUUGAGUGUAGAUGAGGUAGGCGGAAUGCGUGGUGUAGCGGUGGAAUGCAUAGAUAUCACGCAGAACUCCAAUUGCGAAGGCAGCUUACUAAGGUACAACUGACGCUGAAGCACGAAAGCGUGGGUAUCAAACAGGAUUAGAUACCCUGGUAGUC